Anopheles nili is the source of this 72-nucleotide small nucleolar RNA. RefSeq annotates it as small nucleolar RNA U18. The record is from RefSeq and is a predicted model, not a curated record. The transcript has a single exon. Lineage: Eukaryota; Metazoa; Arthropoda; Insecta; Diptera; Culicidae.
GAUUUGAUGAAACCAUUGGUCCGUGUUUAUGAUUUUACUUGAUUAUUACAUUACGAUUCAAUUCUGACAAAA